Molecule: ribosomal RNA, 489 nt
Filed under: uncultured bacterium
Lineage: Bacteria
Description: partial 16S ribosomal RNA
Rfam family: Bacterial small subunit ribosomal RNA
Source: RNAcentral
AUUGAACGCUGGCGGCAGGCCUAACACAUGCAAGUCGAACGGUAACAGGAAGAAGCUUGCUUCUUUGCUGACGAGUGGCGGACGGGUGAGUAAUGUCUGGGAAACUGCCUGAUGGAGGGGGAUAACUACUGGAAACGGUAGCUAAUACCGCAUAACGUCGCAAAACCAAAGAGGGGGACCUUCGGGCCUCUUGCCAUCGGAUGUGCCCAGAUGGGAUUAGCUAGUAGGUGGGGUAACGGCUCACCUAGGCGACGAUCCCUAGCUGGUCUGAGAGGAUGACCAGCCACACUGGAACUGAGACACGGUCCAGACUCCUACGGGAGGCAGCAGUGGGGAAUAUUGCACAAUGGGCGCAAGCCUGAUGCAGCCAUGCCGCGUGUAUGAAGAAGGCCUUCGGGUUGUAAAGUACUUUCAGCGGGGAGGAAGGGAGUAAAGUUAAUACCUUUGCUCAUUGACGUUACCCGCAGAAGAAGCACCGGCGAACUCCGU